GCCCUAGUAGCUUAAAUUUAAAGCGCUGGUCUUGUAAACCAAAGACUGAAGUUUAGAACCUUCUUAGGGCU
RNAcentral lists this transfer RNA (71 nucleotides) under Allobates grillisimilis. RNAcentral's name for it is "tRNA-Thr". It matches the Rfam family "tRNA". From Rfam's summary of the family: Transfer RNA (tRNA) molecules are approximately 80 nucleotides in length. Their secondary structure includes four short double-helical elements and three loops (D, anti-codon, and T loops). Further hydrogen bonds mediate the characteristic L-shaped molecular structure. tRNAs have two regions of fundamental functional importance: the anti-codon, which is responsible for specific mRNA codon recognition, and the 3' end, to which the tRNAs corresponding amino acid is attached (by aminoacyl-tRNA synthetases). tRNAs cope with the degeneracy of the genetic code in two manners: having more than one tRNA (with a specific anti-codon) for a particular amino acid; and 'wobble' base-pairing, i.e. permitting non-standard base-pairing at the 3rd anti-codon position. Lineage: Eukaryota; Metazoa; Chordata; Amphibia; Anura; Aromobatidae. The record is from RNAcentral.